UUGAAUGAACUUGGCGUGGUUGUCGCUGGCCCUCUCGGGGGUAUGUGCACGCCCGUCAUCUUUAUCUUUCCACCUGUGCACACUUUGUAGACUUGAAUAGUAUUUCUGAGGAAACUCAGUCGGGAGGAUUGCUGGUAUUUAUCAGCUCUCCUUGCAUUAUUCAAGCCUAUGUUUUUCAUAUACCCCAAAAAUGUAACAGAAUGUAUCAUUGGGCCUUGUGCCUAUAAACUAUAUA
This 235-nucleotide unclassified non-coding RNA is filed under the name uncultured Galerina. RNAcentral's name for it is "sequence contains ITS1". The record is from RNAcentral. Lineage: Eukaryota; Fungi; Basidiomycota; Agaricomycetes; Agaricales; Cortinariaceae.